GCUAAGGCAAGUAUUGGGUCAGCUGCGGAAGCACAGGUGAGAGUAAUGUAGCUGUGUUCCCAGAAGGGGUGGAGCUUGACUCCACCUCCUCUGAGACCUCAUUUAAGGGCUGACCCCUCACUGAGUCAGUGUCUCCUGGAGAUUGCUCUUCAGUGAAGACUGCCCCAGCUUCCUCAGCAAAGGCAUCACCACUGGUGAGUUUCCCUCUUGCUUAUAACCUUUGUACAUUUAUUACCAUCUUUGUUACCAUCUGUAUAGUUACCACCUAGACAAAGGCCAAGGUGGAUGGGGCUUUGGUAAUUUGACCUAGUACUUUAUCCAGUGCUUGGCAGCCCUGCUUGUGUUACAGGAGUUAAUGGUUCUUCAGGAGCCUUCCAACUCAAGCCAUUCUGUGAUUCUAUGAUUCUGUGAGUUGUUGCUCAAAUAGAAAAUAUUUAAACCUUAAUCUUGAUGCUAAAUAAUGCCUUCAUGCUCUGUCCACACGUGCUAAGUGCUACUAGAACAAAAUGUAUGAAGUGUUUUUAAGUUGACUCACAAUUAACCAGUAACUCUGGAGAGCCCUGAAGGUAAAAGUAAAGCAGAAGUGAAAAUAGAAAUUCUUACCCUGGUUAAAUAAGAUAUUAAAAUAACAGUGUACUACUACCUUCAUAGGAGUUAAAAUGCAGAGUAACGCUCCAGGGCUUGAGCUCAUUGUGAAGAAAAGUGGACUAGAAAGAAGGUGCCCCUUUGGGCAGCUCUGAAGCUGCUGACGUGCCAUUAUUACCUGUAUUGAAGAGAAAUAAACCCCAGGCAGUUUUUAUACUGUGAAACAAAACUUCCACAGCAUGAGACACUGCAAGACAAACUUUUUACUUAAGCUAAAGUGCUGGAAUGCCUGAUUUGAAGUGACUGGAAGCAGUAGAUGUUAAUGAAUUCUCAGUGCCUGUUGCAAAGCUCUUGCUCUGUACUUCAGAGUGUUUUCUUUGACCUUGUCCACAGAAACUAUUACCAGAAGAUGUAUUAA
This 1003-nucleotide long non-coding RNA is filed under the name Coturnix japonica (Japanese quail). RNAcentral's name for it is "lncRNA (ENSCJPG00005005804.1)". The record is from RNAcentral. Lineage: Eukaryota; Metazoa; Chordata; Aves; Galliformes; Phasianidae.